CCUACGGGGGCUGCAGUGGGGAAUAUUGGACAAUGGGCGAAAGCCUGAUCCAGCCAUGCCGCGUGUGUGAAGAAGGCCUUCGGGUUGUAAAGCACUUUCAGUGGGGAAGAAAGCCUUGGGGCUAAUACCCUCGAGGAAGGACAUCACCCACAGAAGAAGCACCGGCUAACUCCGUGCCAGCAGCCGCGGUAAUACGGAGGGUGCGAGCGUUAAUCGGAAUUACUGGGCGUAAAGCGCGCGUAGGCGGUCUGAUAAGCCGGUUGUGAAAGCCCCGGGCUCAACCUGGGAACGGCAUCCGGAACUGUCAGGCUAGAGUGCAGGAGAGGAAGGUAGAAUUCCCGGUGUAGCGGUGAAAUGCGUAGAGAUCGGGAGGAAUACCAGUGGCGAAGGCGGCCUUCUGGACUGACACUGACGCUGAGGUGCGAAAGCGUGGGUAGCAAACAGGAUUAGAUACCCAGUAGUC
RNAcentral lists this ribosomal RNA (463 nucleotides) under Vreelandella stevensii. RNAcentral describes it as "partial 16S ribosomal RNA". It matches the Rfam family "Bacterial small subunit ribosomal RNA", at positions 338 to 795 of the family's 1533-position model. Lineage: Bacteria; Pseudomonadati; Pseudomonadota; Gammaproteobacteria; Oceanospirillales; Halomonadaceae. The record is from RNAcentral.